AAUAGAUACCCUGGUAGUCCACGCCGUAAACGGUGGGCGCUAGGUGUGGGGGACUUUCCACGUCCUCUGUGCCGCAGCUAACGCAUUAAGCGCCCCGCCUGGGGAGUACGGCCGCAAGGCUAAAACUCAAAGGAAUUGACGGGGGCCCGCACAAGCGGCGGAGCAUGUGGCUUAAUUCGACGCAACGCGAAGAACCUUACCAAGGCUUGACAUGCAGGGAAAUCUCGUAGAGAUACGGGGUCCGCAAGGGCUCUGCACAGGUGGUGCAUGGUUGUCGUCAGCUCGUGUCGUGAGAUGUUGGGUUAAGUCCCGCAACGAGCGCAACCCUUGUCCUAUGUUGCCAGCGUGUAAUGUCGGGGACUCAUAGGAGACUGCCGGGGUCAACUCGGAGGAAGGUGGGGAUGACGUCAAAUCAUCAUGCCCCUUAUGUCUCGGGCUGCACACAUGCUACAAUGGUCGGUACAAAGGGCUGCGAGACCGCAAGGUGGAGCGAAUCCCGAAAAAGCCGGCCUCAGUUCGGAUUGGGGUCUGC
RNAcentral lists this ribosomal RNA (532 nucleotides) under uncultured bacterium. Its description in RNAcentral is "bacterial SSU rRNA". It matches the Rfam family "Bacterial small subunit ribosomal RNA", at positions 777 to 1308 of the family's 1533-position model. The record is from RNAcentral.